Molecule: long non-coding RNA, 22264 nt
Organism: Cavia porcellus (domestic guinea pig)
Lineage: Eukaryota; Metazoa; Chordata; Mammalia; Rodentia; Caviidae
Exons: 2
Source: RefSeq, a predicted model, not a curated record
UUCACUGUUUUGUUCACUUUGGGGCUGUUCUAGCAUUUCAGUAGUUUCAGAGGGAAUCUAGACAACCAAGGAGAAGGGGUCUUCUUCCCCUGUGGCAGCAGGACUAUGUUUCUGGUUGUCUUCUUGACGAUAGCCAUUCUUUCAAUGUUUAAAUAGGGGAAAAAACAGCGUAGACACUGGGAAGUUGGAGGUUCUUCAGAUGGAAAAAGGAAGCAGAGAUGGGAAAGGAGGGGUUAGGAAAGGAUUUGAAGAAAGAAAUUGAAGGAAAAAUUAGAAACAGCUUUAAGUAUGGAGGGAAAGAAGGAUUAAAAAAGGUGCAAAAAAAAUUGAGAUACUAUCUACAUGAGCAGGUUCCCUGGGGUGCAUGUGACUGCCACUAUGAACCUCAAACCUGCAAUAUUUUAUUUAUUUAUUUAUUUAUUUAUUUAUUUAUUUAUUUAUUUAUUUAUUUUUGGUGCCGGGAAUCCAACUGACAACCUUGCAUCUGCUGAGCAGGCACUGACACUGCUGAGUUGAAAGUCCUUAUAUAUUUUUUUAGAACCUUUUCUCUACCAAACCUGGGCAGAGGUUUUGAAUGUCAAGAUCAGGAGGCUCAGUCAUGAGGGAGGAAGGCUCUGCAAGCUAAGGCCUAAAGGGGAGGUGGCACAGGGAACUGAGGUGUGUUUCCCUGCAUGCACACCUGCAAAGGUGUUUCCUCUUCCUGGGCAUCUGAAGAAGGAUGAGCAACUGCUCUCAGUACCAUCCUUCAAGCCCUAGUGUGGAAGGGGAAAAUCAGUGCCCUGCUCACUUGUGGAUUCUGGGCAGUAGGUGGGACAGGGUAGCAGGGACUUGGCUCGCAUUUCAGCCUGGGCGGCCCUGAGGAGGCCCCAAGGUGAGUUAAGUUGCUGGUUUCCUAUGGGCCAUGGGCUUUUCUGUGGCGCCACCCCACCCUACUGUAGUGCGGAAACCAGUCCCCAACUUCUCCCAAGUUAACCAACCACACCUUGUGCUGACCCAGAGCAGCUGUGACGACUUGGGUGCUGCUGAUCUUUGCUGAGUGCUGGCUCAGAAGCCAGGCCGCCUCGUCCUGGCAGUUGGAUUCUACCUCUAUGCAAAGAUGGGGGUGUAGCAGGUUGUACAACACAGUGCUCUCACCGAGUGAUGACAUCCUGGCAGUGAGAGGACAUGGGUUAGAGGUCACAUAAAGGGGUAACUUGGGUAACUUUGUCGAAGGGACUGGGUCCACUGCUGGUUUUACCCCUCCCCCCAAUGGCUGUUUCCCCCAAUGGCAGCAUCAGCUGUGUGGGGGGGGGGGCUGGGUCUAGGUCCUCACUACCCUGCAGGUAUCUUUCCCAGCUGGGCUAUAUUUUCCCAACCCCUUGGGUGAGGGGUGCUCGGGGUACUGAGACCUGAACAAAACUGCUCCCGAGAGCCUUUGAAAAUCCAGGACACAUCUUGCCAAAGUGAGCCCCUCCCUAUUUUACACUAUCACAGCCGUAUACUCACCAUGCUUCUUAACAAGUACACGUUGAAUCCUUCAAUGCAGCCCGGCUUCCUCAGAUAGAUCUAGGCCGCAAGCCUAGUCAGGUUUUCUGCCUGAUUAGUGUCAAAUGUUGGCUUUUAUGUUCAAAAGUUUCAGCUGCUGUUGGGAGGAGUCUUAACUAGAAUGAAUUUCAUGGGUGGAGUGAGGGCUCCAUUUCAAAACCAACUCAUGGUUCCUCUUUCCUGUGCAGGGUCCAGUAGUCCUCUUCCCAGCUUUUCCUCUGAAGGAUGGCAGGGCAAGAGCGAAGGUCUGAAGGGGAGGGAAUGGGAAGAGGUGAUCAGGUGUAAUGUGUGAAGACAGGAGUCAUUCUGUAACGCAUGUACCUGAAAAUUUAGAUGGGCAGGGGAGGAAACCUGUCCAUGGGGUGAAUCCUACCCUGUACCUGGCUCCCCCCCUGAUUCUGUCCUGUCCUGAACUGAGUGAGCUCUCAUUCCUCACAGCUAACCUCACAGGAGAGGCAUCCCAAAAGAAUGUUCCAACAUCCUACUUGAUGCUUAACACAAACUGGAGAUCAUAACAGUUAAGCAACUCGCCAAGGAUCACUUCCACCUGGCUGAAGUUACUGGGCUGAAUGUUUGAAUCCUGUGUGUGCAAGAAGAGCUCUUGAGACCCCUGACCUCACUGGGCUGAGUUAUUUGCUGAGAGCUAAUCAUCAGGUCCUGUGCCCCUUCACCACUGGCAGCAACGUCUAAAUUUACUUUUGAUCUGUGACUCUGAGGCUGCAGAACACAAACUUGGAUGGGGAUGUGUUCUUUUUCCUGGAUGCGCCCUUACUCUGAGGAUGGUCAUGUGUGUUAGCAGGGCAUAUUUGCUGGCAUCUGAAACUCCCUGUAUGAGGCUCACAGGAGGAGUGGAGACAGAUAGUGCCUCUGUUUGCAAUGAUGACUCUGAUUGCGUGAAUGGCGACAGCUUCCACUGACUCUCUUCACGAUGUUGAUUAUUUCAAGAGCCCCAGACAAUGUCCACCAUAACUUUUCCAAUGGGGAAAAACUUUUGUAAUAAAGAUGUUCUUUUUCUGGAAAGAAUUCAAUACAAAUUUAGUAAAAUCACGAUAUAUUUGCUACAUUGGGUUCUUCUAUAGUAAUUCUGAUGAUCCAUCAAGAAUAGCUUGAAAGCAAAAAACUUUGUGUAAUGUUAGGGUUUUUUUUUUUUUUAGUAUGAAUUUUCUUAUCUAAUAAGACAAAACCUCACAGGCUGCCCCACAUUCCUCCCACUCCUAGUUUUGGUCAAAACUUUUGAUAUGCCCAUGACAGAGCCCACACAAAGCUGUAAGGUAUUCCUGUCUGAGAGCGUUUGAUUCUCAGUUGGAUGGCAUGCAAUGAGUUGCUGUCUACCUUCUUCUGAAUGUGUGCCACACUGGAUCUGGAGGGACCCUUUCUAGCUGGACACUGUUUUUUUUCAUCUAAAAUUCAGUGAUGAUCUCCAGGCAUCUGUUUUAUGAUUCAGUUUAUUGUAUACUUUCUGUCCAUUCAUUUUUCUUUGAUAUUCUGGUUACAUUUAUUGCAUGGGUCUGGGGGUAACUCACAAAUUGAACUGUCAGAACUGAGUUACAAAUCAGUAAGUUAUAGUAGUAUUUGUUACUCUGCCUAGGUAAGAAAUACUAAACCUGAGGAAUAUAUCUAUUUUUCUGAACUUUAUUUUCUAUUGUAGUACCAGGUGUCUUGCGAAUAGAAAAGGAUUUCACAGCUGGCCUGCUGCGACAGUGAAGUUAGGACCUGGUGAAGACACUAGCAUAGAUUGUCUUACGGAAGCCAGGGUGAGAUGAAAAGGAACAGAAAUCUGUUUAUUUUCCUGUCUUGGGUGUGGAAUCUUGGUGGUUCAGAAUCCUGACCUACUUUGGUCUCAUAAUGUGGCACAAACCUUAGUAAAUAACUAUGCAGUUGUUUUGGGGCUUAUUGUCUCAAACAUUUAAAGGACUGAUUGGACAGAACUCCAGGCUAAAAUAAUUGGGAUGAAUCCCAAGUUGUGAACACUGAGCAGUUCAUUUCCACAUUUCUGUCCUUGUCAUUGUUCUCUGUAGCUGAAAUACGGAAAUCAAAAGGUCUUUGCUUCUCAACCUCCUGUUCCAUAGUUUUAGCUUGGAGAUGAGCUGUUGUGGUGAGAAUGAAUCAGACCGACUGGCCCUGAAUCUCUGACUUCCUGGAGUCUUUUUUCAGUUGGGAGUGGAGUUGAGGAGGGAUGAAGGUACCAGUUUUUUCCAAUCCAAAAUUCAGAAGGUGCCUUAAUGCUCAGGAUGAGGGUUCCCUGCCGAAGGAUCAAUCUACCCUUCUCUUCCCAAACUCUGCCCAUGUUUCCCCACCCUCUGCUUUUCUGGCUCCACUGGGCUGCCACACACAAGGUCUUAGACUUUGUUCUGAUUCUAAUCAGAAGAAUACCAGCGGCCAGUGGAGUACUAGUGCAGUGGAAAUGUGUGUGUCUGCAUUGCCUGAUUCCGUGCUUGCCAUUAGAGGCCUGGUGCCUGAAGAGUACCUUUGGGGAGAGUGCUGAGACUAUGCUGAGGCGCAGAACUGUGAUGUGAACUUUGCUUUAAUCCUAGAUGAAUUUAAAGAAAGCUGGAGUUACCAAGUACUUUGGAGAGCCUAUGGAAAUGUUGAAUUCCCUGAACAUGAAUGACUAAGUAUAAUGAGGGCCUUGGUUACUUUUUACUGAGACACAAUACCCAAUGCCCACAAGGAAAGCUUUAUUUGUUCAGUGUGUAGAUGUUUCAGUACACAAGUGACAGGCUCCAAGGCAGAGGCAUGGCAGAAGAGCAUUGUAGAGAACAAUUGAUGGCAGGAAAAAGACAGUGAAAGGGACCUUAACAGCUUUUUUAAUGCCCCUUUUAUAUUCUAUCUAGGUUACCUAGAUUACCAGGGUAGACAAUCUAGUCAGUGAACUGGUUAGUAAUCACCCCAACUUGAUCCUCACAGCCUCACCCUAGCACUGCACUAUGAGUCAGUCACACUGUAGAUCCAGCCAUCUGUGAAAAAACAUGACUCAUGACCAUGUGAGUCUUUGGGGGGGGAGUUUAAACACAAGCCAUAAAAGGGAUCCCUACAAGAAAUUUCCAGUGGGAAGUAGAUGUCCUGUCUUAAGCCAUUGAAGCACUUUUAGUCAAGGAAGAUGGACUCAUCAGAAGCCUCAAUUCCUGGAACACCUUUCUAGUGUAGUGUGACUAAAUAACCUGUGUAAUAUAGAAUAAAAUUGGUAUGUGAACUCCAUUUGGGAGAAGUUGAGUUCUGUGAGCCUCUUUGCUCCUUCACACUUUUUUUAUAGUACACCAUACAGAGGAAUGGAUAUGGAAUCCUCAUUUCGUCCCAUUGGGUCAGGGAUGUGACAAAUACACAGCUCAGAGGAGCCCGAGUAAAUCUGGGCUCUAUGAUAGAAGUAUUGCCUUGCUGCCGGGCAGGGAUGAAGUCUAACAGAAAACAACAUGUACUGAAUUUUCUGUUGUCAACCAUGUUACAGCUACUCUGACUUAACUGAGUCUAGUUAAUGCCCUCACGCGUGCCCCCCCCAGAUCCAUUCACCCUAACGAUACAUCCCAUAGAUUUAUUGAAGAAAGGAUUUUUUCACUCAGCAGUUGCCAGUUCAUGGGUCUGUUUGAAAUUCUUCCCAAGCUUUUUCUUAGUUGUCAAAGGGCAGACAUGGAACAAUUCCAUAUCUGAUAUCAGGAAACACAGGAUCAGGGCUUAGAAGCUAGGCAAAUGUCACAUCACACACUGGAAGAACUAGGAAGUACAUUUGGUUUGGUUCCUCCAAUCCCAUUGUCUUUACUCUUGUACAAUUCAUUUGCUUUAAGGAUGUAUCAAACGGGAAAAGGGAAACUUGUAUUUAUAUUAGAGUUUUCCAAACUGAGUGAUCUCUUUCAAUAUUUCUUAACUACGGAAACUAAAGUAAGAUUUUUAAAACUUCUGUUUGGGAUGGUAUAGCAAAAAAUGAUGAACCAGCUAUGACUUGGACCCUUGCAUGCACUCUCCUGGGAUCUGGUAUGAGCUCACUCAUGGAGUCAUGGUGGACUCAACCUUGAGUUCAAGGUUUUGGUGCCACUCGUGGCACUACUGGAGCCAGCAUGGUAAGAGAGACAAAAUGUUCAGUCAUUUACCUGGAUGGUGCAAAAUAUUCUAGGGAAUAAAGAGAAGAAAAACUUGGACAGAAUAAAGAGAAAAUGGCUUUCAAUGAUCCCUUAUGUUUGAACCUUUUGAAUAGCGCUCUUUCCAGAAUGGCUCAACAUGAGUAGAAAAAAGUGACACAUAGCAAAACACAGUGUCGGUUACAUGUUUGAAUCUCCACUGUCAAAAUCUGUUUCUCUGCUUAUUUGCAGUAUUUUGGUGUGCAUUCUAUCACAGUCAUUCUGUGUAGGAAAAUUCUAAUGAAUUUUGUAUAUACUGGGAUCUACAGUAAACUCUUCUGGGUUGUAACAAACUAUUGGUGUAAUAGGACCCAUCUAGGAAAUACAAGUAUGGACCUUGUCUCUUUAACUCAACUUUGAAAGGGAAUCAGGCAUUUUAAUGAAUUCCUGCUCUCAUCACUCUUUGGAAUUUACCAAAGCAGAGGGAGAAUUACAAUCAUCCUGUAGCUCCUAAGAUGGACAUUGCUGGUAUCACUGACUUAAAAAGAUCCCUUUUCCUCUCUGUGUUCACACAAGUUCCUCAGGCAGGUUGAGGCAAAUCAGUCUACACGUUUCCAAAAUGAACUUGGCACCAUGGGUGCUAUGUCUUUUUUAGCUGUGGAGCAGAAGUCUUAACCACUGGGCCUUUAUGGCUUUCUCUUCUUACUGUCCCACAGACGAAAUACAGGAGAGGUGAGAUCCUUGGGAUUCAUGCUGAAUCCACAUGGCUUGGUAUCCUCUGACCUCUUUACCGCAGUCUCAUAAUUUUACUUGUCAUGGAAAUGCUCAGUAAUCAGUGCAAAUCCAAACUGUUCCCAGAAACAAAAGAGAAUGAAAGUGUGGCAAGGUUAUGUAGCUUCCUCCUCAAGCAUCAAGAUCCCUUGGAAUUGAUUACUAGGAGUUUGGAGUUCUAGAAAUCUGUUCAAAACUAUCAACUACCUCAGUGUAGAAAGGCUAGCAAUUCUAUAUAAAGGUGUGUUUUAUUACUGUGUUUCUUGGCAAGAUAAGUGCCUGUCUUCCCAACCUAAGCCCACCAGGCCUCUACCAAGCAGGCAGAGCACAAUGCCCGGGUCUGAUUCACUGGCAGGAAGCCCUAGGUUCUUCCCUUGUGAUGGCUUUAAGAGGCUGUUUGGUGAUCAAGUUUUGGCUGGGUCAAAAACCAUGCUGUGGGCGUCCAUGUACAUAGCCAUUUUCUUUGCAACCUACCGUCUCUCACAGAAAAAGUGAUGCUCUUUGAUGUCACACAUUUUAGUUGACAUUAUUUAGACUAUUCAAAUACAUACUGGAGCAAAGUCAGGUUCAAAUGUUAUCCAAACUUGCUCCAAACUUGCUUCAGAUGCAGAGGGUAAAAUGUGCACCUGUCAGCAGGGGGAGGGGUCAGUACCUGAGAACUUGGUGUUCUCAGACCACUUUGUUGGUCCUGCAUAUAGAGCCAUUUUAUAGAGGGUCAAGGCUUUUGAGUUGGCACAGUGAGCGUGUUUGCUAUGGUUUCAUUGUGUAAAGAAGGAAGAAGAGACAGAUUGGGCAGAGGAAGCUUGAUCACAGUGCAGCAGGAGUUGUGGGGCCCUGGUGAGCAGUUCUGAAUGGCUCCAGUGUCCUUUGUCAUGAGUGUAUGUUAGAAACUUGAAGUCCUACUUCUCAGAUUCCAAAUCUGACCAUGCACUAUCAAAAAUGAGCUCUAGAAGUUUGGAUCUAAGCAAUCCUUUUCAGAGUCACGUAUGCAUUCUUCAGUCCCUGUGUUUGCACAUUGAAGCAGAGCUCUACUCAGGGUGUCGUGCCCCACUCGGUCUCCUGAAUGGACAUUCAGGCCAGGCUAAGACUGCCUAACCUUGACCUGGGAGCAAGAGUGUACAUUUACUCAUUAUUGAUCCACCAGCCUGGAGACAGUAGGAUACAACAUGGAUAGCACUGUCCUCACUCUACUUUGGUCAUGCUCAUGCUGAAAAGUGCUCAGUGAAAGGCAUAGUAAACUAGUGGGGGAAAGGAACCUUUGCAUCCUCUGAGUCUCCCAAGGAGCUCUGUGGACAACUGCUUGUAAGUGAGGUUUUUCUUGGGUGCAUUAAAGUCUGGGGUAUAACAUUUGAAUCUGACUUUGCUCCAGUAUGUAUUUGAAUAGUCUAAAUAAUGUCAACUAAAAUGUGUGGCCUCAAAGAGCAUCACUUUUUCUCAUUCCAUGGGGCUCACAUGACACCCAGUCUUCCAUCCUUGGAAAAAUUUCUGGAUUAUGAAGGUAAUGACGGCCUGGAUCUGUCCAUGUCCCUCAAGUUAUACCAUGGUUGGUCACAAGGAACACUUGAAAGCCGUUUACUAUGCCUUCUGAAGAUGGUAGUCUUCAUCCAUUUGUCUUCUCAUACAAAAUUUUAUUUUACAAUGUCCUUUGUCCCUCCAAGAUAGGCCAUAUUUAGCAUAUCUGGGAGUGACUGUCAGAGACCUAAGUUCUGAGUAGGAAAUGUGCCAUAGCUACUUAGAUGAGGAAUACUAAUAGAGAACUGUAUCAAGUCUCAGUUGUAGACUUAUUUCCAAGCACAGUACCCCAAGGCUUUUUGGCCAGGGGAAAGAUACCUAGCAUCUCACAACUAGUGACAGGGAAUCUACAGCCUGGAGAAGCUCUCCCUGAAUUCUAGUUUGAAGGCAACUCCAUAAUAACAAGUGAAAGCACAGUAAACUUGCCUGCCCUUUCGUGUUAUGGUCCAGAGAGCUAUGAUCUUUGCAUCUGUCAUGGACCAAUCAGUGACUGAGUAGUGUUUUGGCUUCUAGUUCCUGCCCUAGGCAACACUUCGCAUGACAAAAUUUCAGUAAACCCUGGGCAAACGUGCUCUGAGCACUUGUUCACUUCUAAGUCCCUUCAGACCACUUCUCUGUAGCCAAUAUUAUGGGAUCGAGAGCUGUUUAUUUCUCAAUAUCCAGUCCCAUGGUGCCUUUGUCAAUCCCUACUAGAGGUCAUAUGUGGCAGAGCUUAAAGUGGUUCUCCCUGGGUUGGGGACCCAAAGCAUCCAGUGAAAACCUGAAGCCCAUGGCAAAAUCCUGUCCAAGUCCUAAUAGGCAGCAGUAUCCUUGCUGGGGAGACCAGAGGAUAUAUGGCAGAAAGGCCGAAGGGUCAGUGCUGGAAGUUUAAGUGUCUGUGCUUAAAGGCUGAGGGACAUGCAUUGGAAGCCAGGAGAAUGAUUCUCAAUAUGAAUAUGAGAAUUGAAGUACUCUCAAAAAUGGCCAAAAGGCUGAAAUUCCUCUGAAGAAAAUCAGUCACAAUGAAUCAGCAAAGAAAAUUAGCCAAAAUCUUCAGCUUUUUUUCUCCUAUGGUUUUUCCACAUUCCUCAAAGUGGGUUUUUCAUGCUCAGAAGUGUUGGUGUGACACUAGACUACUGGUCACUGACCACAGACUGCAUGCAGGAAGCCAAAGUAAGUUUCAUGUUGUCGCUUCCAUUCUGCCUCUGAAGUGAUGGACCUCUGACUGGAGAGGGACCUCCAGAUACUACUGGCCAAUCUGCCUUCAUACUUGGAGGCCGGAGAUGGAAUCCUGGCUUUGUGCGUGAAGUUCUUGAGGCUACCCAGUGCAUAAAGGGGGAAGCAAGAUUCCAGUUGAAUCUUCAGAAUAUGUGUUCCUGCUUUGUGCCACUACCUCUGACUCCUGGGCAGCAUUUAUGCAAAGUAUAUGCCUGACUUGACAGAAAGGCUGGCUGGCUAGGUUCUGGGAGAAGGGAUAUGGCAGAGGGGCUCAUGGUUGGUUCCUUUUGCUUCAUCCAGAUCUUCUAUCUUUAAAUCAGAUGCCCUCCCCUAAAUUUAAAGACCCAACCCAAAAAUGGCAUCUGAGAUAAAUUUGUACUUCUCAGCUGAAGUACAAACAGAAAGUAAACAUAUGAAAAACAGUUCAUCUUUGGUCAUUCAGGAGGGGUGACUUAAAACAAUCCUGAGAUUCAAUAUAUAUGGCUAUUAUAAAAACAAUCAUCAACAAAUUCUAGUGGGGCUGGUGGGGGAAAAGAACCCUUCACUGUUGGGCGAACGGACUGGUGCAACCACUAUGGAAAUCAGUAUGGAAAUUCUUCAGACUAGGAUGAGAGGUCUCAUUUGACCCAGCUAUUUCCCCUUUGAUAUCUUCCCAAAGGGAUUAAAAAUGUAUCAUACCAUAGUAAUAUAUGCAAACCGAUGAUUAUAACAGUUGGUAAUAGCUACAUCUUGGAAACAGCCCAAAUACCCAUCAAUGAGUGGAUAAACAACUUUUAUACAGUCAUAAAGGAUACACGUGAGACAUUUAUAGCUAUAAACAAAUGGAUCUUGUGAGCAUACUAAAGUGAAAUAAAUUGGAGAUGUUUAAAUAUCCCAUUCUUGUAUGAGAAACUGAAAGUUUUAAAAAUCAUCGUAUAAUACUAUGAAAUGGGAAGAAAUUUUUCAAAAGGAAACUAGAGAGUGGGAGAAAAAUGAAUGAAAGAAAAGGAUAAAAUGGAAACAAUUUUGUAAAUCAGGAGAGCAAGAGGGGCUGAAGACAGAAGGGAAUGGAAAGAGGAGGGUAUCUAUCAUGUACCGGUCCAAAUACCCUGUGAAUGUGAUCAUGUUGUAGCAAUAAUAAAAAUAAUAAUUCUGAGCAGAAAAUGGGCCUAAACCAUGGGUUCAGUUUUUCUGGCAUAACAUUUUUGCUUCUUUGGAACCCGAGUUAUUUCUUUCAUCAAUAUGCUCUUUGGAAGGCGCUCAUCUUAGGAAAGCCAAGGCUUGAAUCCACUUAGUCAAUCUUGGGUGUGAUGCUCAGAGUUUGAUAGACCGGAAUGAAACAUCUGUCAGUGUGAAUAAACUUAGCUUUAAUAAUUGCUCUUAUUGAUCAGACCUGUGUCUUUGUUCAAUAUUUGAUCAGGGAUUUGGAUAGAUUGAGUUGUGGUGCCCAAAACCCUCACCCUGUGGACAUGCUCGAUUAAUCUAUGCUCUGAUGCCCUCGUCCUCCAAUACACUGACAGUUUCCAUCUGCAAAGAUCCUCCUCUUCAAGAGUUAACAUAAUGGACUCAUGCAGUGGUCUUCCUAGAGUUUUAUUUAGGACAUCAUGAACCUUACAACUUCUGCCAUCUGAGGUGUCCUAUUUUAAUCUUUGAGGGGACUGCUGGAGGAGCUGAAGAGUAAGCUUGCCAGGGGCUUGCUGGCGGUUAAGACCCAAAGUCCAAAGUCGCUAAUUGAGACAUUUCUUAUCGUGUUAUCAUCCUUAUCUUGGUAGUUCCUGGUUCAAUAACCAAAUUGUAAAGGCUUUUCAUAGUCCUAAAGUAUCUUCCAAGGCCUCAUCACAAAACGGAAAGCUACAAGAAAGAAUCCAAUAAAACUGGAUUCACCAAGUGCUCCUGGGUCAGGCAGAAAUGAAAUGCUCAGUGUCCUAUGGCUCCUGAUGUGUUCUUGUGGGUCACUUCGGUUUCCCCAAAUGUGUAAACUCACCCAUCAGAACAAUUGACCAUGAACUGAGGGAUACUUGGCAACAUACCUGGCAAGAACUCUUCUAAAUGGUUAACAUGAAGGCAAGCAAAAGUAGGUAUGACGUAGUAUCCAAGAUUCUCUUCUGGAAUGUGAUUUACCAGGGGAAACAAGUCCAACAAUGCAAACCAGUCAAUGUAGUAAUAAGGUUUGUCUGGUGACCGGCUGUUAGGUAUUAAGGGAACCUGAUGAAGUGAACAUGAGAAAUCGGUCAUUCUGACUCUGCAGGUUAUAUCUGGUUAGAUGGAUGGCUAAUAACUUGGAGACGACAACUCCUGUAGCACAUGUCUAUCUGUUCAAGCUCUGAUUUUCUUGGAGGUCUGACCUGGUGUGGCUCCCAACUUGAUAGGAGUUGAACAAAGUGGCACCCUGGUCUUUUUCCUUGUUACUAUGACUUUGGUGUCAUUGAAAGUGGGUGUCUUGAUGUCUCCAGCCUUGCCCAUUUUACUCAGCAUUGCCUCGGCUCUGCUGGGUCUCCUGUGUUUCAAUGUAAAUCUUCCUGGUACUGUGAAGAAUGUUACGGGAUGGGAAUUCCUAUGGAAACUCAACUUGGAUUGCUUUUUAUAGUAGCCAUUUGAAUAAUGCUCUGCUUAUCCAAAAACAUGGGAGAUCUUUGUCACCUAGAAAUUGUUGCCUAUAAGUCUCAGGAAACGGAGGUAGAAGUCUCUUGCCUCCUUGGUUAGGUUGAUUGCUAGGUAUUUUCUCAAUCUACUAUAAAUGGAAUUUUCUCUUGGUUUCCAUCAAUAAUAAACUGGUUGAGAGCAAGCAAUCUUUAAAUGUUGAUUUUUGUAUCCUAUUUUGCAGAAGUUUGUUUUUUGGUGGAGUGCUUAGGGCUUAAAUACAGCAUCUUAUAACUUUCAAAUAAGGAUAAUUUGUCUUCCUUUCUGACAUACAUCCUUUUUUCUCUUACCCAGUUGUGCUGAGUAAAAUCUCCAGUACCACAUUGACUAGAAGUGGUGAGAAAGAACAUCAAUCUUUUCCUGAUUUUUGAGGAAGUGGUUGGUUUUUAUCCAUUCAGAAACAGUAAAGGGACAACAUCAUACUGAAGUGACAGUGGUGUCAGCUUUAAGUGAACUCAGAUUGUUUUUCAUUUGAGCAAAUGGAAAUUAAGGGAAUAGAUGAGUAAUAAUUGCAGCAAUGACAGUAGCAGUGCUGUUGGGAAAAGAAAGUUCUAUGCCUUAAGGCCAGGACCCUAAAUUGAUUCUGAAGAGCAAAUAUUCUGAAGCCAGAUGACUCAGAGCUGAGAGGAUGUCACGAACCAGUGGGGAACAACACCUGUGCCGGGAGGGACAGUUGUCUUAGAACCACACUGUGUAUUGUGCCUCUUGUGACUUAAUUGAGCAGACUGUUUGACCUCUUAAUGUUGGAGACUCGCUGAUAACAUUCCACCACCAGUCCAAGAUUGCUGGUAUAUUUGUAUGUGGGCAACAAUCAAGCCUUUAUGCAUCAUCCAGUGAGUAGUUUAAUGUUCUAAGGUGGUAAGUUCAGGGCUCGCUGCAUAGCCAUCGUCUGGUAGCAUGAAAGCAGAAAGACUUGCAAAAUGGGAUUAUGAAGAUUUUUGUCCUGCUUCCCAUUAUCUGUGGUCCACUUUAGCCUUUUGAUUUCUCAGAAUGCAAUAUUUAAAGACCUGUGUCCCGUUUCAUUUAAAACCUUAUGUAAGAGGAGAGGGCAGGGAGUUGAAAGAGGAUGUAAGGAGCUCACAGUGCAGCACAGCUGGCAUUUAAUGAGUUGCGGGAGCCACGGCUCCAACACAGGGCAUGAGUGCAACUCCUGAGCCAGCCAAUUCUGAGGGGGAAGUAAGGUACGCUCAGACCAGGACAUGAAUUUUUUUAAUGAUCUUCACAGGGCUCUGCAAAAGUAAAACUAUUAGGAGUUAGAGUGCCAACAUGCAAAGUGACAGGGGUUUAAUUGAGGUCUCAUUUGUGACAAAAAUGUAGGCAUCCCUGGCACUGAGUGUAGGUUGAUACAUUCAGGGGCUCCACAAUAUUAAACACUUGGUCAUAAACACAUGCAAGAAGCUGUGCCUGUUAUUAUUGCCAGUUAUUAGGCCAUUUUCUGUUUCUUGUGGCUUCAUCUACCUCAAACACAUUGGUUGUAGGAAGGACCUGUCCCCAAACUCCCUUGCUGGAUCUUUUCAGGAAGACCAUGAUGAUGGUCAUCACUUUCUCACUAGCUGUUAAGUGAUAACAGACUUCUGAUUCUCUGGCUGGUCACCUAGUACCUGUCCACUGGUAAACCAUGGGGCUCUUGAUGUGUAUCAUAGAUUUGAGUUGGCUGAGUUGUUACAAGUGUCCCAAACUCCUCAGGGUUGGAUGCUGCAUCACUUGAGUGGUGCGGAUUUAAGGUGCUAGAUGUUGGGCCCUCUGCUUCAUCCUCACUUAGCUGGUACAUUGUGUACUAUGGGGCAACCGGCCAAGAGUCUUGGUUGUUAACAAUGGCUGGGAUGUCAAUGUCCCUGGAUCCAUCUUCCUCCACUCCAUAAAGGCCAUGAUUUGGUUGAUAUAGUGGUAGGCAGGACUAGCAAAGAAUUACAACUUGGACUCCAACUCCAGAGGGCAUUGGUAACCUUACAUUUAAAAUAUCCUAAACCUGAAGUUAUAGUCCUAUGAUUUAAGAAGCUGUAGACCUUACACUUAAAUUACCUUGUCCGUGAUUAUCCUGAGGUAAGAAGGCAUAGAUCUUAUGCUUGGAAGAGUCAAUGAGAAAUACCAGAUGGUUGGUAAGAACCCCAAUCCUUCCUUUCAACCUACAGGAAAAUAUGCAAAACCAAUCACUGAACUUAUGGUCCCCAACAUUCUGUAGCCCAGAAAACCUGGAAUGAUCAAUGGACAAUGCAGUGAUGGUAUCAGGAGUCUCCAUCUAUUGGCGCAAUAUGUGUAGAGCACCAGCGAGAGCCAAAGAAGGAAGCAGUGGUGCAUCUCCCAGUACUGUAGGGUACUGCCACUCCUGAUGUCUGACAUUAAUAUCUUGAUGUGCUAGGUCUUGGAAUGAGCACUGUACUCUCUGCACACAGGUUUGUGUGCUGAUGAAAAGUCUAGAUGGGUAAAGUCUUGAGUGUGGCAUAAAAGCACCAGCAGUGUGAGCAGAAGCUUGAGGCACUUUUAGAAUAUUACUUGGUCAGCCCAUCCACCAGCACAAUCCAUGCUGCAGGCAGUACAGUAGAGCCUCACACUGGGUGUUCUGUGGUGAAUGAACCAUAACCAUCCUGUUAAGUGCUCUCCAAAUUUGACUUUUAAAUCACUUGACUUGAGUCUCCUUGGUAUGGUGAUAAUCACACACAGGUAGCAUGAAAGCUUUUUCUAGUUCAUCAGCCAUUAGACUAUGAUAGCUAAGACCCUGGAAUAAAAUCCAAGGAAGCAAGAAAUUUAGAAAUUUGGAACAAAGUCUUUAUUUUAGGCCAGGCCUGGUGAUGCAGCUUCCGGGAGCCAAUAUGGAAGAUUGUGCACCUUACAGCUAUUGGGUAGGGUUUUUAAAGCCCAAAACCACAGGCAUGUUGUGAACUUUGACAGUUUGAUAGCAUCUGGGCUUCUUGGAAUCUCCUGUAAUUUCCUUGUGGUUAAACAUUUCUUAAGGAACAGCAGCACAUUUUAUUACAGAUAGGCAGGAGGGGGGGGGAGUGGGAUUUUUAACGCUGAAAACCGCAAAGAUUUUGACCUAUUUCAGAUAGCUUUCGUGGUACAUUCUGAUGGUCUCCGCGGUUAAACAUUUUCCUGGAACAGCACACCUUGCAGGAGCAUGUGUAAUCAGGUUGGAGGGACUACAAAGAGCUGAAACUUAAGUCUUUACUUAAGACUUGAAUGGAAUUUUAAUCUCUAUUUAAAUGGCACAUACAGAACAGGAAGGAGGCACAUUGGUUAGAAUUAGGCCACAACAAGACUUUCCCCAAAAAUUGGUCAUCCACUGCAUACAAAAGUGCCUUUCCAAGACACAUAUUCUUUCACCUUUGAAUCAUAAAGGGAACCAUUGCUGGCAGAAAGUAUGGCAUACAGAAUGAAAUUCCACAUUGGAAUUACUUAACAGCCUUCAGAGGGGCUUUUAUAAAGAUGAGAAUGGUUUCAAUAUGAAAAAAUAGGAUGGUGUCCAACCUAGGAUGGCCCCAAACAUUUUGAUACCUGGAGUCCUACUGGCAGGAUGUCCAACAUGAGGUUGGAGAUGAGGAUGGUGGUGACCAUGGGAUGUGGAUGGAAAAUUGGUGGUUAGUUACCAGCAAUAAAGGUCAUGAAAUUCUGAACACCUGAAGAGCCUCCUUGUUGGCAAGUUUACUAACCUAGUGAUAUUGAAUCUUGGGCUAGAGACUGAGCACUGGUCAUUAUCCUAAAGCUCCAGUUUAUUCUGGUGCAAAGGUAGAUCCAUGCUUCAACUGGCCUCACUAAUUUCUUUGAUAAGUGGCUAGGAAUGAGAGGAGGGGAGGCCCCCAGGAAUGGCUCCCUUGCAAUUCAGUUGGAUUAAUAUAUUUCAAGCACAGAACCUAAGUUGAAUCUAAACCCUGUAGAGGCUUUAAAGCAGUUGGGAAAGAGGCAGGUUACUUGAUCUGUCACAAUCCCAGGGAUGCUUCCAUUGUUCCAUAAGCAACUAGUAUCUAUUGGUUGUGACAAUGGUUUGUAGUUUUCUGCAGAUGGGACUACUUUCUUCAGCAUCUCACAUCUGCCUGAGAUGCUUUGCAAAUUAACUCUUCUUUUGCCACACUUUGCUAUUCAGGCCACAUAUUAGUGUUUGCAGGAGAAAGAGAUUUAAUGCAGGACACAAUAAUUUGCAUGAUUAGAGGACAGUAUCUGCCCACAGUGUCAAAUGUAGAGUACAAGAGAUCCAUUCUCAAGGUAGAGGUGAAGAGUGAAGCUGAGGGCCUGAAUCCCAUGGGCAACAUCUCCUCAAUUCCACAUCAGGAUGCUGAGGAUCUGAAACGGAAGACUAAAGGGUCUGUGCUGUUUCCAGUGGCUGAUCCUGGAGGGUAGAAUGUGUGGGCAGACUGGGAGGCUGGAGUUGGAAGCCAAAGUCUGCCAAAACCCAGGAGAUAAGAUGUCCAAGGUGAAAGUAAAGAGCAGAACUCUUCUGAAGGCAAUAGACAUUUGUGGCAAGUGCACAGAGCAGUCAAAGAUUCUCUGAGGAAAAUUGGGCUGAAACUUCCUGUCCCAUUCUCCUCUUACACCUUGCUGACAGUCCUCACAUGGGUCUUCCUCACCUCAACUGGGCCUUCGCACUCAAGCUGACAAUUAAUUAACCACCGUGGGUGGGUUGCUGAGUUUCCUGACAGUUUUCCAUCUGUGUUUUGUGUAGAGAACUAGUUAAGACAGACUAGUUAAGUGAGUCUGCUGGUGCGGCUCUUGAAACAAUAUUGUAGUUCUGGCUCAUAAAAUGAGUAGGGGGUGUGUUUCUGAUAAUUCCCAAGAUGGUUCCCAUCUAUAAAAGUAAGAUGCUCACCCAGGGUCAUGAAUUACAAGACUAAAUCUUAGAUGCCACAACUGCUUUGUUACAGUCUUCAGCUGCAUUAGCAGAUCCUUUCUGAGUACUUGCAAAUGAUGCUUAGUAUUUCCUCUGGCCAAGUGGUUUUCGCUGCCUUAUAUUAGAGAAAGUUACACAAGGAUACAAUAGGCUGAUGCUGUUGCCCAAACCUUGCAGGGGUUUGUUUGAAGUUGUCGUUUUUCUUUAUUCUUCACUUUUGUGUUGACGAAAUGAGAACUGCUUGCCACUCAUGCAGAAAUUCAAAUUGAAUGUUUGGAGUAAAGGUGUAAAACACAAGACACUUAAAACCCCAGCAUAAGUAACCAGCAUACAGAGACCCACAGAUCAAAGACUAUAAACCUGGCUCUGAACUUCUUGUUGUCCUGAAUGUGAAGUCUAUAGCCAGAUCUCACUGCAAGGCCAUUCUGAUGAGAGAGCUCAGACUCAUAGCAUACCCAUGUCAAUAGCUGCUAUUAUGUUGACAGCCCCUGAAACAGGGCCAUCUCAUUUCUUUAAUCCAUAUGACAUGAGGGAGACAUUUUUGUUUUCAUCUUACAGUGUGGAAGGAGCUCUAGCUCCAUGUUCCUGAGAGCACACAGCAAGAGUGACAGAAUUUCCUCUCAAUUCGGGCCUGCUGGGAUUCUAAACCCAUGCCCUGUUCAGUGUUAAACCUCCUGUAUUGAGUAUCAUUUGUAAGCCCCAGAAAGCUGUCUUCUCUAUAAGCCACAGUCAGGAAGUGCUAGGUAAUAUCGCCCUCCCAACAACUGAAACUGAUUAAUGGGUCCUCUAGGUCAAGACUGGACAGGUGACAGAGUCUAUCCAGCAAAAAGGAUGGAGUCUCACCCUUGAGGUGGGGCUUGGCGUUUCUCAGGUGUAGCCUUUGGUAACCAGGCAGAAGGUGAAGACAUUAAGCAUACGUUUAUGCACUCUAGGCUGUGGUCAAAUUUUUUGUACCAGGAAUCAAACCGUUGAUCUUGCACUUGGCAAGCAGGCAUUUAUGCCACGGAGCUAUGUCCCCAGCCCCUGUGGCCAUGACUGUAAAAGGAAGAGGUGAGCAUGUGCUUUUUUCAAAUCAUUUCAUGUGCAUAAAUUUAAGAUCAAGAAUUUUUAGGUACUUGUUCAAGUUGGAAUGUACCGGUGUGCUUGACACAAUCGCUGCUCAUCUGGGUCAUGGUCUACUUGCCAUUCCUGUUACACCACAAAACAAGUCCCACUGCAAACUUCAUAGUUUGUGAGACCCAAACAUACUAGGCAUAAAACAAUUUUUAUAGACCUUUGAGGAUACUCGCAUGCCUCUUACCUGGGUUCGUUGUUUUCAUAUUACUCUAUUUGCUCUAUAUUCUUUAUAAAAUUUGUCUGAGGAUGCCCUGCUUUUCUUCAAUUAGAAGUAAACUAUCCUUGAGAGAGCUGGUAAAGUAUGAAAACAGAAAAAUUCACAUGCUGUCUGAUUCAGGGAUGCCAAAAGAACCCUAGAUAAUACUUUGCUAGGACGGGAAGUGCAAGAGUCAUCUUGUCCAUUGCUAGGCAAUGGGUCUCAUCGCAAGGUGUUUAGCUGAUGGUCUGAGUGAGGGCUAUUGGAGUUGGACCAGCAUUGCUAAUGGACAGCAGAAGCAGCUUCCUCCAGAGUAGUGGGGCAGGGCUGACAUUGAGUGAAAGAGUGGGGUGGGGUGUGCAACUACCCACACCUAAUCUUCUAAGAGUGCUCCUAACACUGAUGACUCAUUCAUGUGGUUUUGUGCUUUAAUCUCUACCUCACUGGGCCAGGCCAGGCCAAGAUCAUAUAUUUACAUAGAAACCUGACAGCCGGUGCCUACUGUGGUGAUUAGAACACACCUAGCUGAGUGUAAGAAGGUCCAGAGGUGAGGAUACUAAUCCCUUAGAAAUUCCUGCAGGUAUGAAAUGGAAAGUGAACCCAGAAUGCUCUGACCUGGAGCAAACUGAUGUUCAGUUGGAAACCUCAUACAGCCCGAAGAGAAUGGGAAUGGGUUCUGGAGGACAGAAUGACAGCUGGAUGAUGGUUCUGGGCAAACUGAGUUUUUAAGGACUCAAAAUUUCAUAACAGAAAAUACUGUCUACAUCUCUAAACACUUAAUUGGAAAAGCUUAAGUAUGGUUCCUUAUACUGUCAUGAUAAAGAAAUACAUGUGACUGACAAAACUCCAGAAGCAUAUUUUAUGUGCAAGUUUGCUUCUUAGCCUGGGAUUCCAAGGUAGAAAUGUACUCAUGUCAUCAGAAGAUGGAGCUCUGCUCAUGUGAACAGAGCUAGGAGCAAAUUCCCACUACCUUAGUUGAUUGGCUUUUACAGCUCUGAGAAUUGCUCUGUGCUGGUGCAGGUAGAUGUACUUGAGUUCCUUCCAAGCUGAAUCUUAUUUGAACUUUCCUUCAAUGGGGGACCAGUUAGAUAAGGUGGUCAUCCAAGUUGAGACCUCUUGGAGCAUUGUAUUUGUAUAGCUUACCCUUCCUGGAAUACUAAAAAGAAAAACAAGAGCUUGAACUAGAGUAGGACUAGAGACUGCCUGAUGUGCAAGGCUGGGAAUUUCAUGCACUGAAUUUAUAAUGUCCUGUAUAGCAAAUAGGGUGGAUCCAGCAAAGGGUUACUACUGACUUUAAAUCAGCAUAUGCCUGUCCUAACAUGUGAGGUAAGGACCAUUUUUUUUUAAAGGGAGUAAAAUGCAACAAUAAAGUGAAAUGAAACAACAGUGAUAGGACAGUAGGAAAUGAACAAUGGUUACUACCUGGGAUAAUCUUACCUCUAAUUAGUUGCCCAGGUCUUGCCAGCUGAUGAAACCAGUUAAAUGUCAGGUUGCUUCCUUACUUCAGCUCUUAUCUCAGGCUGUGUCUUGUCCAGUUGCUUCCGGGGGGAAGGGUCAGGUGGGAGGUACAGUUUCCUUGCUGGUUCUCCUUGGCCAACAGGGCCCCCUGUUGACUCAAGGAGCAGGGACUGGGUUGCUUGCUUGCUCCUUGCCCCUGACUGGUAAGAUGUGCCCCAGUACAUGGAAGGUGGGGACUGCAUUGCUUUCCUGUUGUUUCUCCCCAUGUGGUGGGGCUGGCACCCUUGGUUUCAUUGUUUUUGCUGGAUUCCUGAAUUGUUUCUGUGGCUUUGUCUGUUCAGAUCUACCUCCACCCAUAGGACCCACCUCUCUCCUCCUUUUCCUCUUCCUCAUAGUGCUGCUUCCAGGAUCUAGACACCAAAGCUGGAGAGGUUCUUUUUCUCUGUUGUGCACUUGAAUACAGAACAGCACUGUGUGAAUUUAUCUAGUGAUAACUCGGGAAUCUGAAAGAAUGAAAGCCCAACUUUGGUUCAUUGUCUUUCCCAAAGCCUGGAUGACUUGGCAAUCUUGGUACAGCAGUGAACUGGACUUGAUAGUUUGGGUCAAACUGAAAUUUGACUAUAGAAGUUAAAGCCACAGGCCGGAAGCCCAAUUUUGUUUUUUACAGGAUAUCUUUUUUGUAUUGCUGUAGUAUUUCACAUGAUUGACUUCAAGUUUUUACAUUGUAUAGUAGUAUAAGGUUCCUGUACCUGAGACAGACUUUGGAAAAUGGGAAAUAAUUUUGUGCAAUCAUGGGGAAUUAUAUAAUAAGCUUCCUCACAGUUAAGGCAAUCAGAGACUUAAGUACAUCUCAGCUUCAUGGUGUCUUGCUCUUUUUGGGCACAAAUGAAACCAAAAGGACAAAAUGUAUUUUGAUGAAAAAUACUGAAUUUCUCCAUGUUGCCAUGAAAGAUCACAUAAAAGUGAAUUUGUACACUUCGUAGGCGUACUGUCUUUCAGUGUGUUUGCUUAUGUCUUCUGAAUUUUCAGGAAUCAUCAAAAGCUCACAUAAUCUACAUGGGGAUUCCGUACACUGAGGAUUCCUCAUUUAUUUCAAGGUAACUAGAAUAACUUAGGAAAAGCCAUCUAUGGAAAAUCCCUAUGUGAAUAUUCACUUAUUUGAAGGCACUGGGGGCAGCAUAAAACCUAAUGUUGCUCACCUAUGUUCAAAGUUUUUUCUCCCUUAUGGUUUUUCUCAAGUAUGUAAUGGGAGUUGUAUAUACUGAAAACUUCCCACCGUUUUUAGGUCUUCUCUCCACUGAGUUUGCCUGUAUGUAAGUGCUGUUACAAAUACACAGGCAAUUUCCUGACACUUUUAAAUGUUAACUACAGAACAACUGAAGGGUUUUGUACGUUGCUCACAUAGGCUCUCAUCCUUAUGUGGUUUCUUGUCAUGUGGGCUUGAAAGCUUGCCACUUUGGAUAUCUACAAAGUGUAAGUCCAACUGCAGUCAGAAGGAUGUUUUAGUUGUCUGGGGCCAAUCUUGGCCUCACGCUGAAAGAUUAGAACUUCGAUGCCAUCAGCCAACUCUGAAAACCUAGGUCCGGCUAUGCUUUGCUGUGUAGUUGUGGGUUGAUGCCCAGCCUGAGCUGUGCUUACAUGUAAAUUGUAUGUGUAGACUUCUGCAGACUCCUGCAUUAAUCUAAGUGCUUUGAGAAGGAGAGAUGUUAAGAGAUAGGUGAGUUUCACAGAGAAGGCAGUGCUAAGGCAAAGGAGCUGGGGGAGGCUGGAAGGGCCUCAGACUUGGAUGGAGGUUGGAACACAGAGGCAGGCUGAUUGGAAGUGUCCUUUGGUCUGGGGCAUUCUGAAGUUCAAGGCUAUUGGGCAGUCUCCAGAGAACAGAAGUGGCACCUUGUUCGCAGUGGCUGAUACGAAUGUAUCAGAAUUGCAAGUCAUCUUCCUGUGGAAGGAGCACAUGGCUCAUCUCCCAAGUGAGUUGGAAAUGAGGAAGCCGAUUACUGGUGAGGUCACUUUGCUCUUGGCUCUGAUUCCAGGGUAAAAGCAGUCUCCAGUCUAGUUUUCAGUGAUGGUUCAAAGCUACAUGUCCAGUGGUGACCUUAUGCCUAUGUCUACCCCAGUACAUGGCCCCAUGUGAUUUUGUUGUUGCGGGGAUUCAGAACCACCCAUCGUGAACACACAGUCUGAGCUUCAUCAAAUAUAUUGCCAUUAUAGCCUUAACUUUUAAACAAAAGGCUCAUGUUAUCAUUAAGAUCUGUAAGAUUUUUGAAUUGAAAAUAUUUGCCUUCCCUUAGUUUGCAUUGAGCUCCAUUAGUUAUAAAGCUGUGCCUGAGUGGAUACUAUCACUCAUGGUCUGGGUGGGAAAUGCCUCUCUCAGUGCUGGAUUGAAGAUGCCUUAAUGAAUGGACCAGGUAGGGACACAAAGGCCAAACAGGAGAAAACUAACAAGGAAUAGCCGAGCAAACAGGACAGUGAUGGGGUUGGAGGGUGAGAGCCAGUGCCAUCCCUAAAGUGCUAAUGGUAACAAAAGCUUACAACUAAGGGUAGGGCAGGAGCUGCCUGAAAGCAGCUAGGGUGGGGUGCUCUUGGAGCCUCCCAAUACUUGAGGCCUAGAAAAAGGAUUUGGGGGUGAGUCAAGGUCUCAGACUUAAUCCUCCACUACAUUCCUAAGGUCAGACUCCUAAAAUGGCGGGAGGCCACGUGGGAGGUGGCUCAUGCAAUUUGGCCUCCUCGGGCACCUGAAGCAAAUGAAGAUUGUCAGCUGAAGAGGCAAAAUAAAGGAAAAACCAGACAGCAUGACAUGAUAGCUCUCCUUAUGGUAGCAAAUGACAGCUUCUUGAAGGACAUGCAAAACUUUCAUGUCUAGUAGUUGGAGCCUAAGUUAUAACUGACUUCACAGGGCUUUAGCUAGAGAGGCUGUGUUUGAUGUGCAUGAUCCUAAACAGGAGCCAGGGGUAUUGGAAAUGGUCCAUGUUGAACAGAGGUCUCCACUUCACAAUUCAAAAU